This 515-nucleotide ribosomal RNA is filed under the name uncultured Gram-positive bacterium. RNAcentral's name for it is "bacterial SSU rRNA". It matches the Rfam family "Bacterial small subunit ribosomal RNA", at positions 8 to 521 of the family's 1533-position model. The record is from RNAcentral.
AGAGUUUGAUCCUGGCUCAGGAUGAACGCUGGCGGCGUGCCUAACACAUGCAAGUCGAACGAAGCAGGGGGGCGGAAUCUCUCCGGAGGGGAAGCCCCCCUGACUGAGUGGCGGACGGGUGAGUAACGCGUGGACAACCUACCCCGCACUGGGGGACAACAGCUGGAAACGGCUGCUAAUACCGCAUAUGCGCACGGCCCCGCAUGGGGCCGCGCGGAAAGCGCAUGCGGUGCGGGAUGGGUCCGCGUCUGAUUAGCUUGUUGGCGGGGUAACGGCCCACCAAGGCGACGAUCAGUAGCCGGCCUGAGAGGGUGGACGGCCACAUUGGGACUGAGACACGGCCCAGACUCCUACGGGAGGCAGCAGUGGGGGAUAUUGCACAAUGGGGGCAACCCUGAUGCAGCGACGCCGCGUGAGCGAUGGAGUACUUCGGUAUGUAAAGCUCUGUCAGCAGGGAAGAGAAUGACGGUACCUGACCAAGAAGCCCCGGCUAAAUACGUGCCAGCAGCCGCGGU